AGAUGCAGAGCAGUGUUCCAAGUGGGUGCAAGGGAGCUGGAAGGAAGGGGCAUGCCCCAAGAAGGUGUGGAGCCUUGGGGGGAGCAGGUCGCUCACAUCCAGGAGGAGCUGGGCGAGGUGUGUGGCAGACCUCGGCGUGGGGAGCCGUAGCCCGGCAGUUGGGACGGGAGAGCGGAGCAGGCAUUGCAGGAAGUUUUGGAGAGGAG
Long non-coding RNA from Dromaius novaehollandiae (emu), 206 nucleotides. RefSeq lists it as uncharacterized. Lineage: Eukaryota; Metazoa; Chordata; Aves; Casuariiformes; Dromaiidae. The record is from RefSeq and is a predicted model, not a curated record. The transcript is spliced from 4 exons.